Molecule: ribosomal RNA, 468 nt
Filed under: uncultured bacterium
Lineage: Bacteria
Description: partial 16S ribosomal RNA
Rfam family: Bacterial small subunit ribosomal RNA
Source: RNAcentral
GACGAACGCUGGCGACGUGCUUAACACAUGCAAGUCGAACGGAAAGGCCCUGCUUUUGUGGGGUGCUCGAGUGGCGAACGGGUGAGUAACACGUGAGUAACCUGCCCUUGACUUUGGGAUAACUUCAGGAAACUGGGGCUAAUACCGGAUAGGAGCUCCUGCUGCAUGGUGGGGGUUGGAAAGUUUCGGCGGUUGGGGAUGGACUCGCGGCUUAUCAGCUUGUUGGUGGGGUAGUGGCUUACCAAGGCUUUGACGGGUAGCCGGCCUGAGAGGGUGACCGGCCACAUUGGGACUGAGAUACGGCCCAGACUCCUACGGGAGGCAGCAGUGGGGAAUAUUGCACAAUGGGCGGAAGCCUGAUGCAGCAACGCCGCGUGCGGGAUGACGGCUUUCGGGUUGUAAACCGCUUUCGCCUGUGACGAAGCGUGAGUGACGGUAAUGGGUAAAGAAGCACCGGCUAACUACGUG